AACGAACGCUGGCGGCAUGCCUAACACAUGCAAGUCGAACGAGACCUUCGGGUCUAGUGGCGCACGGGUGCGUAACGCGUGGGAACCUGCCCUUAGGUUCGGAAUAACUCCCCGAAAGGGGUGCUAAUACCGGAUAAUGUCUUCGGACCCAAGAUUUAUCGUCUUUGGAUGGGCCCGCGUUGGAUUAGCUAGUUGGUAGGGUAAAAGCCUACCAAGGCGACGAUACAUAGCUGGUCUGAGAGGAUGAUCAGCCACACUGGGACUGAGACACGGCCCAGACUCCUACGGGAGGCAGCAGUGGGGAAUAUUGGACAAUGGGCGAAAGCCUGAUCCAGCAAUGCCGCGUGAGUGAUGAAGGCCUUAGGGUUGUAAAGCUCUUUUACCCGGGAUGAUAAUGACAGUACCGGGAGAAUAAGCUCCGGCUAACUCCGUG
This 433-nucleotide ribosomal RNA is filed under the name uncultured bacterium. Its description in RNAcentral is "partial 16S ribosomal RNA". It matches the Rfam family "Bacterial small subunit ribosomal RNA", at positions 29 to 507 of the family's 1533-position model. The record is from RNAcentral.